UCCUAAAAUCUUGUCGAGGUUUGAGCUU
RNAcentral lists this small RNA (28 nucleotides) under Bombyx mori (domestic silkworm). Its description in RNAcentral is "ovarian small RNA-27663". The record is from RNAcentral. Lineage: Eukaryota; Metazoa; Arthropoda; Insecta; Lepidoptera; Bombycidae.